Molecule: non-coding RNA, 45 nt
Filed under: Trichobilharzia regenti
Lineage: Eukaryota; Metazoa; Platyhelminthes; Trematoda; Strigeidida; Schistosomatidae
Source: RNAcentral
AUCCAGAUUAUGAGUCCCAAAUAGGACGAAAUGCGCACCCUAGAU